RNAcentral lists this ribosomal RNA (492 nucleotides) under uncultured bacterium. RNAcentral's name for it is "partial 16S ribosomal RNA". It matches the Rfam family "Bacterial small subunit ribosomal RNA", at positions 29 to 507 of the family's 1533-position model. The record is from RNAcentral.
AGUGAGCGCUGGCGGUAGGCCUAACACAUGCAAGUCGAACGGCAGCACAGUAAGAGCUUGCUCUUACGGGUGGCGAGUGGCGGACGGGUGAGGAAUACAUCGGAAUCUACUUUUUCGUGGGGGAUAACGUAGGGAAACUUACGCUAAUACCGCAUACGACCUACGGGUGAAAGCAGGGGAUCUUCGGACCUUGCGCGAUUGAAUGAGCCGAUGUCGGAUUAGCUAGUUGGCGGGGUAAAGGCCCACCAAGGCGACGAUCCGUAGCUGGUCUGAGAGGAUGAUCAGCCACACUGGAACUGAGACACGGUCCAGACUCCUACGGGAGGCAGCAGUGGGGAAUAUUGGACAAUGGGCGCAAGCCUGAUCCAGCCAUACCGCGUGGGUGAAGAAGGCCUUCGGGUUGUAAAGCCCUUUUGUUGGGAAAGAAAAGCAGCAGGUUAAUACCCCGCUGUUCUGACGGUACCCAAAGAAUGAGCACCGGCUAACUUCGUG